GAUACUGUCAGUGCUGCCUCUGAAGAAAACAAGAUGGCAAUAACCAAAAUACCAAACUCAAGAUCU
This is a non-coding RNA of Xyrichtys novacula (pearly razorfish), 66 nucleotides long. Lineage: Eukaryota; Metazoa; Chordata; Actinopteri; Labriformes; Labridae. The record is from the annotation of a GenBank genome assembly.